This 404-nucleotide ribosomal RNA is filed under the name Actinomycetes bacterium. RNAcentral describes it as "Actinobacteria bacterium partial 16S ribosomal RNA". It matches the Rfam family "Bacterial small subunit ribosomal RNA", at positions 355 to 776 of the family's 1533-position model. Lineage: Bacteria; Bacillati; Actinomycetota; Actinomycetes. The record is from RNAcentral.
UGGGGAAUAUUGGACAAUGGGCGCAAGCCUGAUCCAGCCAUGCCGCGUGAGUGAUGAAGGCCCUAGGGUUGUAAAGCUCUUUCACCGGUGAAGAUAAUGACGGUAACCGGAGAAGAAGCCCCGGCUAACUUCGUGCCAGCAGCCGCGGUAAUACGAAGGGGGCUAGCGUUGUUCGGAUUUACUGGGCGUAAAGCGCACGUAGGCGGACUAUUAAGUCAGGGGUGAAAUCCCGGGGCUCAACCCCGGAACUGCCUUUGAUACUGGUAGUCUUGAGUUCGAGAGAGGUGAGUGGAAUUCCGAGUGUAGAGGUGAAAUUCGUAGAUAUUCGGAGGAACACCAGUGGCGAAGGCGGCUCACUGGCUCUUUACUGACGCUGAGGUGCGAAAGCGUGGGGAGCAAACAGG